UACGUAGGGACCAAGCGUUGUUCGGAUUUACUGGGCGUAAAGGGCGCGUAGGUGGUUAUUUAAGUGAGAUGUGAAAUCCCCGGGCUUAACCUGGGAACUGCAUCUUAUACUGGGUAACUGGAGUGCAAUAGAGGGUAGUGGAAUUUCCGGUGUAGCGGUGAAAUGCGUAGAUAUCGGAAGGAACACCAGUGGCGAAGGCGGCUACCUGGAUUGACACUGACACUGAGGCGCGAGAGCGUGGGGAGCAAACAGG
This 253-nucleotide ribosomal RNA is filed under the name uncultured bacterium. RNAcentral's name for it is "partial 16S ribosomal RNA". It matches the Rfam family "Bacterial small subunit ribosomal RNA", at positions 524 to 776 of the family's 1533-position model. The record is from RNAcentral.